Molecule: ribosomal RNA, 501 nt
Filed under: uncultured bacterium
Lineage: Bacteria
Description: partial 16S ribosomal RNA
Rfam family: Bacterial small subunit ribosomal RNA
Source: RNAcentral
AUUGAACGCUGGCGGCAGGCUUAACACAUGCAAGUCGAGCGGGGAAAGGUAGCUUGCUACUUGACCUAGCGGCGGACGGGUGAGUAAUGCUUAGGAAUCUGCCUAUUAGUGGGGGACAACAUCUCGAAAGGGAUGCUAAUACCGCAUACGUCCUACGGGAGAAAGCAGGGGACCUUCGGGCCUUGCGCUAAUAGGUGAGCCUAAGUCGGAUUAGCUAGUUGGUGGGGUAAAGGCCUACCAAGGCGACGAUCUGUAGCGGGUCUGAGAGGAUGAUCCGCCACACUGGGACUGAGGCACGGCCCAGACUCCUACGGGAGGCAGCAGUGGGGAAUAUUGGACAAUGGGGGGAACCCUGAUCCAGCCAUGCCGCGUGUGUGAAGAAGGCCUUUUGGUUGUAAAGCACUUUAAGCGAGGAGGAGGCUACCGAGAUUAAUACUCUUGGAUAGUGGACGUUACUCGCAGAAUAAGCACCGGCUAACUCUGUGCCAGCCGCCGCAGUAA